CCUUUUCCCACACUUAAUACUCCAUCGUUCUAGCACCAUCUGUUGAAAAGCCCACCCAUUCCAAUGAACCACGGUGGCCCCUCUGAGCAGGUCUCCUGACCACAUAUAUGGACCAUCAAGCCUGUUGCGUGGAUCUGCAACCCUCCAAAGGACUGCACAUCACCAGCAUUUACAAAUGAGAGGAAUGAAGCUCAGGAGCCCAGGCACCAGCCUACAGGCAUAGACCAGCAGGUGGUAGAGGCAGGAUGGAGCUCCAGCCCAGCUCGCAGUCAUAUUUCCGUAAAGGAAGACCAAGCUACAGAACAGCCACCAACCUGAGCAGCCAGAACAAGCUUCCAAGAAGGAAGAGUGUGCCAUCAUUCAGCAUCUGCAUUUCACAUGAGUGCGGCGAGCCUGCAGCCAGCCUCUAUAAAAUGAGUUAUCAACCUUGUCCCACCUCAGCCUCUCCUAUCCAGAACCACACCGGGACCCAAGGCAGACACAGAGAGAAGUAUGUCCAGUGAGAGAUGAUGUAUCAGAGUAGGGCACAACCAUCCAUCCUAACAGGCUAAGGGCAGCCACAUCAGCAGUCCAGCUCUGAAUGUUGUCACCAAGGUGACAUUAUCAUACUUACCUGCUACUUCAAAAAGUGGGAAAGCAGAUAAUGCUCUUUAGACAUUUGCAAAUAGAAAUAAAAAAAAAAAGU
Long non-coding RNA from Fukomys damarensis (Damara mole-rat), 685 nucleotides. RefSeq lists it as uncharacterized. The record is from RefSeq and is a predicted model, not a curated record. The transcript has 3 exons. NCBI's taxonomy places the organism in Eukaryota, Metazoa, Chordata, Mammalia, Rodentia, Bathyergidae.